UGGGGAAUAUUGCGCAAUGGGCGAAAGCCUGACGCAGCGACGCCGCGUGAGGGAUGAAGGUUUUCGGAUCGUAAACCUCUGUCAGAAGGGAAGAAACCGCACUGUGCUAAUCAGCAGUGCCUUGACGGUACCUUCAAAGGAAGCACCGGCUAACUCCGAGCCAGCAGCCGCGGUAAUACGGAGGGUGCAAGCGUUAAUAGGAAUUACUGGGCGUAAAGCGCACGUAGGCUGCUUUGUAAGUCAGGGGUGAAAUCCCACGGCUCAACCGGGGAACUGCCUUUGAUACUGCUUAGCUUGAAUCCGGGAGAGGGUGGCGGAAUUCAAGGUGUAGGAGUGACAUCCGUAGAUAUCUGGAGGAACAUCAGUGGCGAAGGCGGCCACCUGGACCGGUAUUGACGCUGAGGUGCGAAAGCGUGGGGAGCAAACAGG
RNAcentral lists this ribosomal RNA (429 nucleotides) under Fusobacteriota bacterium. RNAcentral describes it as "Fusobacteria bacterium partial 16S ribosomal RNA". It matches the Rfam family "Bacterial small subunit ribosomal RNA", at positions 355 to 776 of the family's 1533-position model. Lineage: Bacteria; Fusobacteriati; Fusobacteriota. The record is from RNAcentral.